The sequence is a signal recognition particle RNA, 282 nucleotides long. It matches the Rfam family "Fungal signal recognition particle RNA".
CGCUGUAAUGGCUUGUGUCGGAAAUGUUCGAGACUUUUGCAGUCCCCGUUCGCUAUUGUUUACAGAACGAGGUGUCCGGUUCGAUUCCUGCGGUGGACAGUUCCAUGACCAUGAGUAAUCUGGUGCGUGGCUGUCGGCAAAGAACAGUGAUUCCACUGAAGGGUAGAAAUACAGCACAGUACACUGUCCGUGGCGAAGGCGAAUCCGGAUAGCACCUCCCUGGUUUCCUUAUGGAUGAAGCAAUGGUGGCGAAGGACUAGUUGGAUGUGACCGAUAAAUAUU